RNAcentral lists this long non-coding RNA (1204 nucleotides) under Anser brachyrhynchus (Pink-footed goose). RNAcentral's name for it is "lncRNA (ENSABRG00000020024.1)". Lineage: Eukaryota; Metazoa; Chordata; Aves; Anseriformes; Anatidae. The record is from RNAcentral.
CUUAAAUCCUUUUGUAAAUCUGAACAUUAGCCACUGAAGCAUAAGGAACACAGGUGCUUUAAAAAAUGAUAUAAAUUCAUAGAUUAUGUUUUAUGUUGUAGUUUAUCCUUGAACAUUUCUUAAUUCAGUUAUUGACCAGAAUUACUUUUAAAAUACCAUUUUCUUAUGCUUUGCAGUGAUGAUGAUGCCUUUUUGACACUGCAGCUAACAGGCAUAAAUGAGAAAGCUAUUCCAACUGAAAUAUGCAGCAAAACCCGUGUGCCUGUUUACCACUUCUCUCAGAUGCAAGGUGUUGUUAUAAUUUAUUAUAUAUCAAUUAUAGUGACAAUGAGAGCAUUGGAGAAAGCAAAUCUAGGAUGUGCAUUGGAAUGUAUUCUGCAUUUGUGUGCAUACUUCAUUAAUACUUAUCAAUUUUGUGUCUGAAGUGUUUGGCUUUUUAAUGUAAAAAACAAUUCUAGUUAACUGCCUGCUUUUGUUUUUGUGGCUAGCUAGAAAAAGCCACAAAAAUACACCAGUAUGUGUUGAAUACAAUUAAUUCCACAUGAGCUUUUUGGCAUGACUUAUUGCUAUCUUUUAACGUCAACCUGUUCUGCAGUGCAGUUCAACUAAGAAGAGGCAUACAUGGCUGAGGCAUAGUAAGGGUAACAUUCUCAAAAAUAGAGAGCAGAUAUAGAAAUAUAGCCUUUGGGGUUUUUGUUUGUUUGUUUUUGUUUCUUAAGGAUGCCACAGGCACAAAGGGCCCAAGUGAAGCUUGGCAAAGAGAUCUCCCCCACUACCUCCAGGACUACUGUGUACAUAUGCAGCUCUUAGUGAACUGACUUACUCUCGCUAAAAAGUACAAAUUAAUAGCUCAGGUACAGUGCUGCCCAUGGACAUAGGGCUUUCAGGUUUUGGUCUAGUGUCACCAAUCUUAGCACAGGAUCUCUGCACCAUACUAGAUCCAAAAGCAAACAUUUUUUAUCACAGUAUCCCUAAGAAAUUCCUGAUACCCAUCUUGCAAGUGGGAAAUGUGUGGUUGAGUGUCUUGUUGUAGUUUACAUAAAUGUGAAUGCCGGGAGCCUUCUAACUUUGAAAUAUAAGACAAUCAUUUCCCUAGUUCAAUGAGUGAAAUACACCUCAGGAAUUAACAAUGUUCACAUCAGUGAAAUAAGUUUCAAGUAGUAUUAUUUCUGUUUAAAUAAACUAUGAAGAUUGCAACUGCUCA